Molecule: ribosomal RNA, 395 nt
Filed under: Anobothrus sonne
Lineage: Eukaryota; Metazoa; Annelida; Polychaeta; Terebellida; Ampharetidae
Description: partial large subunit ribosomal RNA
Rfam family: Bacterial large subunit ribosomal RNA
Source: RNAcentral
CGCGGUAUCCUGACCGUGCUAAGGUAGCGUAAUAAUUUGUCCUUUAAUUGUGGGCUUGUAUGAAUGGGUUAACGAGAGUUUAGCUGUCUUUAAUAAAUAGAAAUUAAUUUUAAGGUGAAAAGGCCUUAAUGUUAAUAUAGGAUAAAAAGACCCUAUAGAGCUUUAUCAGAUAUUAUUAAAAAAAAAAUUAGUAAUUUUUUUUGUUUAAUUUAAUAAGGUUUAACUGGGGCGGUUAAUGAAGUUUUUAAUCUUCUUUGAUUAAUUAUAGAUUUAAGAUCUUUUUAUUAAAUAGAGCCUAGUAAAGACUAGAAGAAUAGCUACCUUAGGGGUAACAGACUAAUUUUUUUUGAGAGUUCGUAUUGACAAAAAAGUUUGGCACCUCGAUGUUGGCUUAG